AUUAGCUCAACCAAAGACUGAAGGCAGGAAAAUAAAACAAAUAUUUAAAGUCAUAGAAGGAGACUGGCCCUGGCCUUGGCAGGUAUAGAAACUUAUAUCAUCUGCUCCUUACAAGAAUGCAGUUAGGUAGGCAUUGUUGAACUGAUGAAAAAACAAACUCACAAAGAGUAAGCAAAGGUAUAACACUCCAUUGCUAAUGCCAUUCUAAUAAACCUUUCUGUUUGAAAACAGGUGCAAGUAAGAAGAACACAUGAUCCCAACCUUAAUGUAGGAUGAUCUAUUUUCAUCAGGCAAAUCUCUUAGGCAUCUGGGCCAUGAUAUAGAACUCUCAAUACAUUGAGCAUUGUAUUUUACUUGAUCAAGAAAAAGUCCAAGACCCCCUAGUGAUGGAAUGUAAUGAACUAUGAGAAGACCCUUGCUCACAGAAAUCAACUCUAUGUAUGCAUUUCUUUUUAUUAGUACUCCAUUCCACUCACUGUUGGAUGCCAUCAAAGCAAAAAGCUGGGAGCUACAGAGCCAGGAUGUAAGGGACCGUGACAGAAAUUUUCCCCUUCUCUGGUGAAGCUCUUAUGGAGGGCAGACAGAGCUCUAAGAAGAUGUUACCAGAAGGUUGACUUGGCUGGUGGCAAGGAAGAACAAGAAGAGAAGUGAUGACGAAUGGAAGAAGCACACUUAAGGGACAAGGAGCUCCCCCAAACCAGAGAUAUUAAAGCAAUGAGAUUUAGACCAUCCAUGAACACCCCAAAUCUAUUUAUAUCUCAUAUUUCUAAUUUUGUUCCUCUCACCAAGAAGGUCCCUGUUAGUCCUCUUUGGAUUGAGUUUUUACACACACUUCCAGGCUGGGUUGAAGUCCAGUGCCCUCCACAGAGCUAUACCGGCCUCUUCACUACCCCACUGAGCUCUCUCUCCAUGUCUACUGACAAUACCAGUUCCCUGUACCUGUCAACAAGACACAAUUUCAGCCUACAUCAUGAUGUGGACUAGAGGAAAAAAUAACUUUCAGAUUUGAGAAAGGCAUUUGGAUCUAAUAAUGUGUUUUUACUUAAUUCUCUGAACUCCUGUUUGAAGCUGUUAUGAGCAUAUAAUGAGAACAUAUAUGCAAAGGGUCUAGUGUGGGUGGCUCUUAGUAUUAUUCUGUUUCCCAUGUUGAUCUUAUCUCCAGAAAUAGAUUAUUUAACAAAGACUAUGCCUUAUACUUCCCUGAACCAAUCCCUCCCAAGACUGAGGAGAAGCACAUGUAAGACCUCUAGACUAUAUUAAUUGAACUGACGAAAUAAACACUCAAAAAGCCAAGUCCAAGACAUUUCUACAAAACUAUUCUGGAAGAUAAUUAAAGAAAAAGAAAUAUGUGAUUUUUGUUCUGGACACUGGUAAAGAACUUUGAAAAACUCUUGAGAUUUUUGAGUGUUAAGAGUGUGUUUGUUAUGCUGAUUGUGUGAUUCAGGUUGAGACUCCUAGAUAGCUUCAGGAUAGGGGCUGGUCAAUAGAAAUUCUAAUCAAUUAUCAGGAAAUCUGAAUUCUGAGACUGCUUGACCUUCAGAGAGUGAAAGGGGACUAGAGAUUGAACUCAAUCCUGUGACCAGUAAUUUAAUCAAUUGUGCCUGUGAAAUGAGACCUCAAUAAAAAUUUUGGACACCAAGGUUCUCUAGGCCUUUCUGGUUGGUGCAAACAUUAAUAUACUGAACCAGUCAUUCCUUAUGGAAUCCAACCAGGUAUGGAUUCCAUAAGGAAUGACAAAGAAAUACUGAAAUCUCUACCCCUCUCCAGCCUUGUGUUAUGCAUUUCCACCCUUUGAUUAAUUUCCAGGUGUAUCCUUUCGUAAUAAAAUUGUAAUUCUUAAAUAUAGCACUCUUUAGGAAAUUUUGUGAGUUGUUCUGGUAGAUUUUUGAAUUGAAGUCAUUGUGAGAUCUCCCAUGUUUUUAGCCACUUUGCAUGGAAAUAAUAUUUAAAAUGGCUACAGUUUAGUCAAGUGAGAGCAAGGUUUCUCUGUGGGCCUCAGAGAGCUGCAUCUGAUAGGACACAGCUUAUCUCACAGAUAUAAUAAGUUCCUCAGUCUUUUACUUUCUGAUAAAGAAAUGCUGUUUGGAAAGAAUGGGCUUAUGAGACCCCAGGUAGUUUACAAUUCUGUGACUUCUGAUGACUUCAUUUUUAAAAGACUUACUACUUACUUAUAACCAGCUAAUAAUAACUAGGUAGCAUGUAUACAUUAAUGUAUGAACAGAACCUUAGCACCAAUCUGAACUCACUCAAAGCAAUGUGUAUGACUAACAAGGUACUUGAAAGUUGUUCAAAAUAAGUUACUUUACCUAUUGUUUUUGUAUUUUUCCCCCUAAUAGUCCAGUCCUUUUCUUCCGCCACAAAACACUUGUUUCUAAUCCUGAACCUCUGUCUCUUGAUUUGCAAUUCUAAUUCUGUACCUGAAUAAAAAUGAGCUUUGCUUUUA
Non-coding RNA from Ictidomys tridecemlineatus (thirteen-lined ground squirrel), 2443 nucleotides. NCBI's taxonomy places the organism in Eukaryota, Metazoa, Chordata, Mammalia, Rodentia, Sciuridae. The record is from RefSeq and is a predicted model, not a curated record.